RNAcentral lists this ribosomal RNA (498 nucleotides) under uncultured bacterium. RNAcentral's name for it is "partial 16S ribosomal RNA". It matches the Rfam family "Bacterial small subunit ribosomal RNA", at positions 30 to 523 of the family's 1533-position model. The record is from RNAcentral.
AUUGAACGCUGGCGGCAUGCCUUACACAUGCAAGUCGAACGGUAACGGGCCUUCGGGUGCCGACGAGUGGCGAACGGGUGAGUAAUAUAUCGGAACGUACCUUUCGGUGGGGGAUAACGUAGCGAAAGUUACGCUAAUACCGCAUAUUCUGUGCGCAGGAAAGCAGGGGACCUUCGGGCCUUGCGCUGAUUGAGCGGCCGAUAUCAGAUUAGCUAGUUGGUGAGGUAAAGGCUCACCAAGGCGACGAUCUGCAGCGGGUCUGAGAGGAUGAUCCGCCACACUGGAACUGAGACACGGUCCAGACUCCUACGGGAGGCAGCAGUGGGGAAUUUUGGACAAUGGGGGCAACCCUGAUCCAGCCAUGCCGCGUGAGUGAAGAAGGCCUUCGGGUUGUAAAGCUCUUUCGGCCGGGAAGAAAUCGUAUGGGCUAAUACCCUGUGCGGAUGACGGUACCGGCAUAAGAAGCACCGGCUAACUACGUGCCAGCCGCCGCCGUAA